This 374-nucleotide unclassified non-coding RNA is filed under the name uncultured Acidimicrobiia bacterium. RNAcentral's name for it is "contains 16S-23S intergenic spacer region". Lineage: Bacteria; Bacillati; Actinomycetota; Acidimicrobiia. The record is from RNAcentral.
UCCGGCUUAUCACCGGCGGUUUCUUUAGAGUGCCCAACUAAAUGAUGGCAACUAAAGACGAGGGUUGCGCUCGUUGCGGGACUUAACCCAACAUCUCACGACACGAGCUGACGACAGCCAUGCACCACCUGUUAUGGGCCCUUUCGGACACCACAUCUCUGUGGCUUUUCCCAUAAUGUCAAACCCAGGUAAGGUUCUUCGGGUCGCAUCGAAUUAAGCCGCAUGCUCCGCCGCUUGUGCGGGGACCCGUCAAUUCCUUUGAGUUUUAGCCUUGCGGCCGUACUCCCCAGGCGGGGAACUUAAUGCGUUAGCUUCGGCACGGAUGGAGUCGACACCACCCACACCUAGUUCCCAUCGUUUACGGCUGGGACUAC